AGCCUGAUGCAGCGACGCCGCGUGAGGGAUGGAGGCCUUCGGGUUGUAAACCUCUUUCGCCAGUGAAGCAGGCCUGUCCCUUUUGUGGGUGGGUUGACGGUAGCUGGAUAAGAAGCGCCGGCUAACUACGUGCCAGCAGCCCGCGGUAAUACGUAGGGCGCGAGCGUUGUCCGGAAUUAUUGGGCGUAAAGAGCUCGUAGGCGGCUGGUCGCGUCUGUCGUGAAAUCCUCUGGCUUAACUGGGGGCUUGCGGUGGGUACGGGCCGGCUUGAGUGCGGUAGGGGAGACUGGAACUCCUGGUGUAGCGGUGGAAUGCGCAGAUAUCAGGAAGAACACCGGUGGCGAAGGCGGGUCUCUGGGCCGUUACUGACGCUGAGGAGCGAAAGCGUGGGGAGCGAACAGGAUUAGAUACCCUGGUAGUCCACGCCGUAAACGUUGGGCACUAGGUGUGGGGGGCCUUUUCCGGGUCUUCCGCGCCGUAGCUAACGCAUUAAGUGCCCCGCCUGGGGAGUACGGCCGCAAGGCUAAAACUCAAAGGAAUUGACGGGGGCCCGCACAAGCGGCGGAGCAUGCGGAUUAAUUCGAUGCAAC
Molecule: ribosomal RNA, 590 nt
Filed under: Actinomyces sp. oral taxon 175
Lineage: Bacteria; Bacillati; Actinomycetota; Actinomycetes; Actinomycetales; Actinomycetaceae
Description: bacterial SSU rRNA
Rfam family: Bacterial small subunit ribosomal RNA
Source: RNAcentral